GUUCUUGCUUCGGCAGCACGUAUACUAAAAUUGGAACAAUACAGAGAUUAGCAUGGCCCCUGUGCAAGGAUGACAUGCAAAUUUGUGAAGCAUUCUCUGUGUGU
Small nuclear RNA from Saimiri boliviensis boliviensis (Bolivian squirrel monkey), 104 nucleotides. Lineage: Eukaryota; Metazoa; Chordata; Mammalia; Primates; Cebidae. The record is from RefSeq and is a predicted model, not a curated record.